GGCCCCAUGGUCAAGCGGUCAAGACGUAGGCCUCUCACGCCUGAAACCGGGGUUCGAUUCCCCGUGGGGUCACCA
Molecule: transfer RNA, 75 nt
Filed under: Christensenellaceae bacterium OttesenSCG-928-K19
Lineage: Bacteria; Bacillati; Bacillota; Clostridia; Christensenellales; Christensenellaceae
Description: tRNA-Glu
Rfam family: tRNA
About the family: Transfer RNA (tRNA) molecules are approximately 80 nucleotides in length. Their secondary structure includes four short double-helical elements and three loops (D, anti-codon, and T loops).
Source: RNAcentral